CCCUUAGAUGCUCUGGGCCGCACGCGCGCUACACUGGUCGAUGCAACGAGUUUCUUUCCUUGGCCGACAGGCCUGGGCAAUCUUUGAACAUCGAUCGUGAUCGGGAUAGAUUCCUGUAAUUUUUGAUCUUAAACGAGGAAUUCCUAGUAAACGCAAGUCAUCAGCUUGCAUUGAUUACGACCCUGCCCUUUGUACACACCGCCCGUCGCACCUACCGAUUGAAUGGUCCGGUGAAAUCUCCGGACUGGCGUGAGUCGGAGCAAUCUGACAAACACCGGAAAGUUGAUUAAACCUUACCAUUUAGAGGAAGGUGAAGUCGUAACA
Molecule: ribosomal RNA, 324 nt
Filed under: uncultured eukaryote
Lineage: Eukaryota
Description: partial 18S ribosomal RNA
Rfam family: Eukaryotic small subunit ribosomal RNA
Source: RNAcentral